UACAGAGGGGGCAAGCGUUGUUCGGAAUUACUGGGCGUAAAGGGCGCGUAGGCGGCCCGCUAAGUCGAACGUGAAAUCCCCGAGCUCAACUCGGGAACUGCGUCCGAUACUGGCGGGCUUGAAUCCGGGAGAGGGAUGCGGAAUUCCAGGUGUAGCGGUGAAAUGCGUAGAUAUCUGGAGGAACACCGGUGGCGAAGGCAGCCCCCUGGGCUGAGAUUGACGCUCAGGCACGAAAGCGUGGGGAGCAAACAGG
Molecule: ribosomal RNA, 253 nt
Filed under: uncultured bacterium
Lineage: Bacteria
Description: partial 16S ribosomal RNA
Rfam family: Bacterial small subunit ribosomal RNA
Source: RNAcentral